GAUGAACGCUGGCGGCGUGCCUAAUACAUGCAAGUCGAACGAACAGACGAGGUCCUUUCUCCUCUGUCGUUAGGGGCGGCGGGGGGGGUAAUACGUGGAUAACAACCUUAUACGUCUGGGUUAACUUCGGGAAGCCGGGGUUACUACCAGGGAAUAUUUUGAACCGCUCGGAUGAUUGGUGAAGGACGGUUUUUCUGUCACUUGGAGAUGGGUCCGCGCCGUCUUAGCUAGUUGGUAGGGUAACGGCGUACCAAGGCAACGAUGCGUAGCCGACCUGAGAGGGUGGUCGGCGACAAUGGAACUAAUACGCGGCCCAGACUACUACGGGAGGCAGCAGUAGGGAAUCUUACGCCAUGGGCGAAAGCCUGCUGGAGCAGCGCCGCGUGAGGGAUGAAGGUCUUCGGAUCGUAAAACUCUGUUAUUAGGGAAGAACAAAUGUGUAAGUAACUAUGCACGUCUUGACGGUAGCUAAUCAGAAAGCCACGGCUAACUACGUG
Molecule: ribosomal RNA, 497 nt
Filed under: uncultured bacterium
Lineage: Bacteria
Description: partial 16S ribosomal RNA
Rfam family: Bacterial small subunit ribosomal RNA
Source: RNAcentral